Molecule: ribosomal RNA, 194 nt
Filed under: uncultured Weissella sp.
Lineage: Bacteria; Bacillati; Bacillota; Bacilli; Lactobacillales; Lactobacillaceae
Description: partial 16S ribosomal RNA
Rfam family: Bacterial small subunit ribosomal RNA
Source: RNAcentral
CCUACGGGAGGCAGCAGUAGGGAAUCUUCCACAAUGGGCGCAAGCCUGAUGGAGCAACGCCGCGUGUGUGAUGAAGGGUUUCGGCUCGUAAAACACUGUUAUAAGAGAAGAACGGCACUGAGAGUAACUGUUCAGUGUGUGACGGUAUCUUACCAGAAAGGAACGGCUAAAGACGUGCCAGCAGCCGCGGUAAU